CCCUAAACUCUCCCUCAUUAUCUCAAAGGCGCGCGGGGGUUUUGGAAACAAGACGAACAAUAUGAACGACGAACGAUCGCGGGUAUUGGGCAAACGAUGGGGGCUUGGGGGCCGGUCAUGGGCAGACGGCGCAAACGAUAGGGGCUCGGGGUCGGUCAUGGGCAAAAGACGCAAAAGGCGCAAACGAUAGGGGCCCGAGGGUCUUGGGUGGCUCGGUCUGGCGGAGGGGUCGUGGGUGGCUCGGUCUCGCAAAGGGGUCGUGGGUGGCAGUGGAGGUAGCGGUGCGACAAUGUGGCUGGGCUCGGCAUCGUGGAUGCAGGUGCAAGCGGGGGACUCGACAUCAUUGGCUCAAUCGACAAUAAGGCGUGGGGCAACCAUGAGUGCUGGGUUGUUUGGCAAGAUAACAUUGACCCGGAUAACAUGACUUAUAAGGUGUUAGUCUUCCAUCUCUAUAUUUUUUUUUGUUCCUUUUGUUUCUCAAGAAAAUUUUAGGGGCAAUUGGUUGUUUUGCAAGUUUGUAAAAAUAUAUAUUAAUUAUUUACUGGGUGUUACAAUUACUUCAGUAGUUUAAUCCAAAUUCUACAUGCCAAAAUCAGAUAUGAUAUCGGGUUUAAAGCUUUGUCCUUUUUUUUUUUUGCUAGGAGAAUCUUGUGUUUCUAUUGUGAUUUUAUAAUUUUUUCCCUGUUUUUGUUUGUAUGAUGUAGAAUUAAGAGAGAAAGAAAGAAGAAAAUCUUUGAGGUUUGAUACCAAUUCAUGUUGACCUAAGAGAAAAAGGAAUAGAAAAUGGAGGAAUUUAGAGAGACACAGAACGACAGACCAAAAAGUUGAAGAACUAGAGAGAGAGAAUCAAAAGAAAAACAGAGAUAAUUUUAUAACUCACUGUCAUCUCUAAAACUAUGUAGAUAGCUAGAUCUAUUUAAUUAUUUAUUGAUAGACAGUUGAGCAUAAUAAGAAACAUGGAGUUUGCUGAGUUCCUUCAUUUUGAGUUUCUUAAGGCUUUUACUGUAUAUUGAUCUAUUUGAAACUCAUUCGAUGGUUAAAAAAACAUAUUAUAUAUAUAUGACAAUAUGUAUAUAUAUUUGAAGAAACCUUUAUACACGUAUGCUUAUGACUUUGAAAUGAUUUUUUUUGUAUUAAGAGCUUGAGUUGUUUGCUUAUUAAUGAAACGAACUGUCCAAUCUGGUUUCUAAAUUCUAACCAAGAAGCUAAAGCUUUUAUUUUGAAGCCUUAAUAUUAUAUUGGUAUUUCAAUAUGUGCGAGUCUUUUACAUAUUUUCUAUUUCAGUUUCAAAGCUCUUUCUCACAAAAAAUCUCUCCCAAAAGUUUGUUACAUCUAAAUGAAUGAGAGUUUGUGAUAUGUAUAGAAAGAGUGGCUGAAGUAGACAAACUGUUAUGACAGUAAGGAUUUGAUGAAAUAAUUCCACAAUGGAUAUGUCAAGUUUAUCAGUUGUUGAGAGCAAUUGUGAAGAGCAACAGAAACUGUGGGCCAGGCAUUUUGAGAUGGUAGAUGAGAUUGUUGGCCAUAUCUCACGAAAGUCCAUUGACAUUCCAAAAUUCAUUUUGAUGUUUAUUUGUUGUUUUAGAUAAUUUGUUGUGUAAAUAUGAGUACAAUUUGUGUAUAUGAGUUUGCUUUUGGAUAAUUAGUAAAGAUGUAUUUUUAGAGUUAUGAUAUGGAAUGAAUUUUUGGUUUAAAAUUUACAUUAUAGUUGGAAUGUUAUGUUUUGGUAGUCUCUCAUUUGAUUCAAUGUAAUUUUUAAAAUAUAUAUAACAACAGUGACAAUAUUU
Molecule: long non-coding RNA, 1784 nt
Organism: Humulus lupulus (European hop)
Lineage: Eukaryota; Viridiplantae; Streptophyta; Magnoliopsida; Rosales; Cannabaceae
Exons: 3
Source: RefSeq, a predicted model, not a curated record